RNAcentral lists this long non-coding RNA (214 nucleotides) under Lathyrus oleraceus (garden pea). Its description in RNAcentral is "Pisum sativum (pea) long non-coding RNA (PSAT_LNC028070)". Lineage: Eukaryota; Viridiplantae; Streptophyta; Magnoliopsida; Fabales; Fabaceae. The record is from RNAcentral.
GAUGGGAUAAUUGUUUUUGAUUUGUGGAAAAUUCAAAUCAAUGACAUAGGUUGAUAUAUUCAAGAAAAUACAAGGUGGGGGUUAGUACACAUGUAUUACUUGGCAUUGUUGUAAGUGUGUUGUGAGGUUAAUUCACUUUUGAUAUGUGAAAUUUUUUGAAGUUGUCGCACUUCAAGUGAAAUAUAGUCUAGAUCACGGUCUAUGAUAAUUUUUU